This 301-nucleotide ribosomal RNA is filed under the name uncultured bacterium. RNAcentral describes it as "partial 16S ribosomal RNA". It matches the Rfam family "Bacterial small subunit ribosomal RNA", at positions 509 to 807 of the family's 1533-position model. The record is from RNAcentral.
CAGCCGCCGCGGUAAUACGUAGGGUGCAAGCGUUAAUCAGAAUUACUGGGCGUAAAGCGUGCGCAGGCGGUUUGUUAAGACGGAUGUGAAAUCCCCGGGCUCAACCUGGGAACUGCAUUCGUGACUGGCAAGCUAGAGUAUGGCAGAGGGGGGUGGAAUUCCACGUGUAGCAGUGAAAUGCGUAGAGAUGUGGAGGAACACCGAUGGCGAAGGCAGCCCCCUGGGCCAAUACUGACGCUCAUGCACGAAAGCGUGGGGAGCAAACAGGAUUAGAUACCCGAGUAGUCCCUGUCUCUUAUAC